UAGAACUCUCCAUUUUCAUUUCCAGAUUUAAUCCGAAAAGUAUUGAUAGUAUUGGCAUAAAUGGUUGUGGCCUGUAUCUGGAAGAUGUCUGAUGGCACAGACCUAUCAGAUCGGAUGCUCAUGUACUUGUAGACUAUAGACUGGGGAAGUUCUCGGCACACCGCACUUGAGACUGGGCAAACACAUCGGCUGCAGAGAAAAACAAAAGUAUUUCCCAGUUUAUCGUGCCUCCCCCACCCCACUCAAACACAGAGAGUUUUCAGUUUUGCAAGGCUGUGGAAAUGAGAACAGUUAUUUCAUCCUGAAAAUAAGCCUUUGAUUAAAGGCCCAGAGAGGAUUUUAUCAUUGGCAUCAGAGACACCUGGACAAAUCUGGAGACUGAUUCUGGGGAGAGUGAACCAAAGAGAAAAUGUACUGCAUUCCACACAGAGCUGUAUCCUGUACUUUAAAAAGUAAUUUAAAACAUUUGGUACUUUUUCAUUUUAAGAAAAAAAACCCCUACACUUCCUUUGGAUUUUAAUUACUCCUUUUAAUAGCUACAUCAGCCUUUUAUCUAUUCUUUCCAUUGGGUUUACAAUUUAGCUACUAGAAUAUUCUUUUAGGAGAGAUUGGAUGUGGCUGGUGGCUUUCCCUACAUGCACCAUUUGAUUUUACAGGUUCUCCUAUAUGUUGUUCAAUUUUUUGGUUUCCAUCUUCUCUGAUUUUUCUGUUUUUGCUCAUAUAUCUUUUCUCUUUUUUCUUUCCCUUAGAGGGCUCUUCUACAUUAUUAUUGUCUUCUUGUUGAAAAACAAGCCACUAUCCUGCCUCCUUAUCAAGAUACCUACUCCUUAGAGUCCUAAGAAAAUCCAUGUUGGAUUUUAUGAUUUCUGAAUUUUUAAGCCUAACCUAUUUAUUGUAAUCUUAGGUUAUGCUCAGCACGGUCUCCUAGUAGAUUUUUGAGGUAAAAGAAAAAGAUGUAAACAAGUGUAAACAUAAAAAUGAUGGUUCUAGGUACAGGCUUUUGACUAGGCUGAAGGAACAAAAAUGUGACCAAAACAGAACAGAGGUUUCUAUGGGAGAGGUGGAGAACAUUUUCUACAAUUCCCUAACACACACACACAAAUAUCACAGAUGUCUAGGACAAAAGUUAACAUAAAGCAAGAAGGAUGUUUAUUAAAUUUAUUUUAUGUAACAGGCUUGUAGGUAUAUGCUAAUCUGCAAGAAUAAAGGUAGUUCUGUUUGCUCGUUUUUAUUUUGCAAAACUUUUGCAAAAAGUUUUUAUUUCAGGGAUAUUGUUUAUAGAGUAGAUUAAAGGAGUUUUUAAUUACAAAGUUUCAAAAUCAAAGGAUAUAGUCAUAAUUAUUUAGGAAUGGUUUUGGAGAGGAUGGAUAGCGUUUCAGAAGUUCCAAGUCUAUGAAGGAGAGAAGGGUACAUUCAUUCAGAAGAAGCUGUCAGAAGAGUGAGGUUCUUCUUACAGACAGUACUUUGCCUAUUUCAACCACACCCAUCAGGCUGUGUAUCUGAAUGAGUCAUCCAGUCUCCUGCACUGCUGGGAAGGUGGGUACAUUUUGCUUUUUAACUCCUAUUUUACUUUUUGAAACCAUUCAAAAUUCUAGACUUAACUCUAAAGGUUUGGUUGGAAUCAAUGGAGGGGGAAUUUUCAUUAUGGAUUGUGGUAGGCAGCUUCUUACAUAGCUCCCAAAGAUUCCAGACUCCUGGUAUUCAUGCUGUUGAAUGUAGACUGGAUGUUGUGACUUGUUUCUUUUUUUUUUUUUUUUAAAGAUUUUUUAUUUAUUCAUGAUAGUCAUACAGAGAGAGACAGAGAGGCAGAGACACAGGCAGAGGGAGAAGCAGGCUCCAUGCAGAAAGCCCGACAUGGGACUGGAUCCCGGGUCUCCAGGAUCACGCCCCGGGCCGAAGGCAGGCGCCAAACCGCUGCGCCACCCAGGGAUCCUUGUGACUUGUUUCUAAUGAGCAGAAUAUGAGAAAAGUGAUGGGUUGUUGCUUCCAUGAUUAAGUCACAAGACUGUGACUUCAAUCUUAGUAGCAUUCUCUCUCUUGUUUGUUUACCAUGUUGUGAGAUGGCCUGUGAAAAGGUGUAUGUAGCCAGGAGUUGAAGGGGGGAAGAACUGAUGACCAACAGAGGUAGGAAGUAAAUCCUGCCAACAACCACUAGUGAGGGAGCUAGAAAGUGGAUCUUUCCCGGUGAAACCUAGAGAUGACUUUGGCCUUGUGAAAGACCCUAAGCCAGGAGACCCAGCUAAGUCACAUCUUGAUUCCCGACCCAGAAAAAAUGUGAGAUAAUAAAGGUUUGUUGUUUUAAGCUGUUAAGUUUUAGGGUAAUUUGUUACGUGGCAACAGAUAACUAGCGUGUAGACUUCCUUAUGGUUUCUAUGUGAUGGAUAAUAAUGCAUAUGCUCAGCAAAGACUGGUUACUAUGGUUGUAAACCUGGUUUGAGUCUGAGGCUGAGAAAAAUCUCCAAAUGUGAAAUGAACAGACUUAUAGAACUGAAACAGAUUUUUCUUUAGUGAAAGAUACUUAGGAAGGCAGGAAAUCUUAAGUGAAGGCAGGAAAUCUUAAUUCAAAAUCAAGAAUAUAACACAGAGCCUUUAACAGUAGUGUUGCACCUUCACAGGUUACGGCAGUUUCUAUUAAAACAUGUAAAAAAGGAUAUUUACUGUGCACCAAAAUAAAAAUAACUCCUUUCUCUGCUAGGAUUAAAGUGGAGUCCUGGGCUGUACGUGAACCACAAUAAUUAUCCCUGUCAGGGCCUGGGGAAAAGACCGUGGUGAUCUAGCUUUAAAGCUUCAGUGAUUUGGUCCAGACUUUUAAAA
Long non-coding RNA from Canis lupus familiaris (dog), 2814 nucleotides. RefSeq lists it as uncharacterized. Lineage: Eukaryota; Metazoa; Chordata; Mammalia; Carnivora; Canidae. The record is from RefSeq and is a predicted model, not a curated record. The transcript is spliced from 3 exons.